Molecule: ribosomal RNA, 238 nt
Filed under: uncultured bacterium
Lineage: Bacteria
Description: partial 16S ribosomal RNA
Rfam family: Bacterial small subunit ribosomal RNA
Source: RNAcentral
GAUCAUAGCUCAGGACGAACGCUGGCGGCGUGCUUAACACAUGCAAGUCGAACGGAGCGCCAUGGAAUGAGGUUUCGGCCAAAGGAAAUGGUUGCUUAGUGGCGGACUGGUGAGUAACGCGUGAGGAACCUGCCUUUCAGAGGGGGACAACAGUUGGAAACGACUGCUAAUACCGCAUGACGCAUGACCGGGGCAUCCCGGACAUGCCAAAGAUUUAUCGCUGAAAGAUGGCCUCGCG